Dromaius novaehollandiae (emu) is the source of this 293-nucleotide long non-coding RNA. RefSeq lists it as uncharacterized. NCBI's taxonomy places the organism in Eukaryota, Metazoa, Chordata, Aves, Casuariiformes, Dromaiidae. The record is from RefSeq and is a predicted model, not a curated record. The transcript is spliced from 3 exons.
AGAAUCCUUUUCUUCCAUCACGGAAAUCACGUGGAAUUGGGCCACUGACUUAGGUGAGGAAGAACUCCUUCCAGGUCUCCAAAGCCAGGCUAGAAAAAAAGAUGAAGAAAAGAUGGAAGGAAUGAGGAUAACCAGAUGGGGAGAAAGACAGCUGUGUUAAAAACCGCAGUGCUCCACUUCUCUGCCCGGGCGCGAUGCAGGAGACUCCCUCCGGAAGGCGAGUGGCUGUGGGCCCUGCUGACGGUUCUCCAACGUCAGGUCCCUUCUGGAGGAGACAAGUGACACAAGAGUUA